AUUGAACGCUGGCGGCAUGCCUUACACAUGCAAGUCGAACGGCAGCACGGGUGCUUGCACCUGGUGGCGAGUGGCGAACGGGUGAGUAAUACAUCGGAACAUGUCCUGUAGUGGGGGAUAGCCCGGCGAAAGCCGGAUUAAUACCGCAUACGAUCUACGGAUGAAAGCGGGGGACCUUCGGGCCUCGCGCUAUAGGGUUGGCCGAUGGCUGAUUAGCUAGUUGGUGGGGUAAAGGCCUACCAAGGCGACGAUCAGUAGCUGGUCUGAGAGGACGACCAGCCACACUGGGACUGAGACACAGCCCAGACUCCUACGGGAGGCAGCAGUGGGGAAUUUUGGACAAUGGGCGAAAGCCUGAUCCAGCAAUGCCGCGUGUGUGAAGAAGGCCUUCGGGUUGUAAAGCACUUUUGUCCGGAAAGAAAUCCUUGGCCCUAAUACGGUCGGGGGAUGACGGUACCGGAAGAAUAAGCACCGGCUAACUACGUG
This 486-nucleotide ribosomal RNA is filed under the name uncultured bacterium. Its description in RNAcentral is "partial 16S ribosomal RNA". It matches the Rfam family "Bacterial small subunit ribosomal RNA", at positions 30 to 507 of the family's 1533-position model. The record is from RNAcentral.